GAUAAAGAAGGGGUAACUGAGUCUGGGUGCUUUGGGUACAUUUUACUUAUACUCUGUGUGUUUCCCACAGUCCCUGCUUCCUGAGGUUGUCGUGCUGGUAGGGGUCACAGGCCAGUCUGUGUGGCUCCAGUUGCUGAGGAUCUGCCGGGUGCUAAGAUCCCUCAAACUCUUUGCACGAUUCCGUCAAAUCCGAGUCAUUAUUUUGGCCCUGGUGAGGGCGCUCAAGAGCAUGACCUUCCUCUUGAUGUUGCUGCUCAUCUUCUUCUACAUUUUCGCUGUGACUGGCGUCUACUUCUUUGAGGACUACACCCGUUCAACUCGCCAGGACCUGGAGUACCACAUGUUCUUCUCAGAUGCCAGUCAACAAAGGGAAUCUUUGGACUUACCGAAAGCUUUUGAAGGGUCUAAACACAGUGCUGAUGAAGAGCAUUCAAGAGCAUCUGAACUGAAAAGAAAAAAAUCCUUGUCAAAAAGGAAAAAGUCCUCAUCUUCCUCCUCCUCCUCUUACUCUUCUUCCUCCUCGUCUUCAUCUUCUUUCUCUUCCUCUUCUUCUGACUCCAGAUAUUUAGGCUCCAUUGGUAAGCCGAGUUUCUUUCAUUUGAAUUCAGACUCCUCCAGGAGAUAUUCCAAUCUUAAUAGGAGCUCUCCCACUAUGUCUGCUUCCCGGUUUUCUCCACCAGUCUGAUUUUCUGGUCUUACUUGCUUACUUUGUGCUUUCUUUCGUUUCCCCUGUACUUCUGCUUCACUUUGGGUAAGUGUAGCUGUGGCUGUCUUUGUUUACUAUAAAAAGUGGUCUCUUGGUGUUAUUCCCUUUUCCCUCCCUGAUUCCUGUUUACUCUUGUAUCCCUGCUUUCCCCCCACACGACAGGAUCUAUUAGCUCUUACCCAACUUCCACAGAUCUAGACAUGUUUUUAAGAAGCAUUCCUCCCUCCAGGUGAGUUGGACUGGGAGACUCAUGUGCACCAGAAUCUGCCUGGGCUAAUGGAAAUGGAUCAGGAUGACCGUGUCGUUUGGCCUAGAGAUUAAAAAAUGCUAGAAAAGCUUCAGUAUAACCUAGAGGAGCGUAAGCGGUUGCAACAGUUUGCAGGUAUGGGGACCAGGGGUUAAGUACAUUGGAGUGCAUAUUGGAAUAGCAAGUAUAACUGGGGAGAAGGAGGAGGGUGUCCACUAUUUUGACAUUUUAGCCUCUGAAUUUCCACCUCAAACUUAAAAAGGCAAUUCCUUGGUUUGGUAUGUCACAUUCUUAAGUCCUGAUUUCUUAUAAUCUAGAGAGAACCUGAUGGCUUUGCUUCUCCAGUAGGGAAAACCUAAAUCCUAUGAGGUCUGAGAGCUUGUUUCCCAAGAAUAAAGUGUCCAAUUGCAGUUGUUGGGUGUUAGGA
This 1380-nucleotide long non-coding RNA is filed under the name Ursus maritimus (polar bear). RNAcentral's name for it is "lncRNA (ENSUMAG00000008377.1)". The record is from RNAcentral. Lineage: Eukaryota; Metazoa; Chordata; Mammalia; Carnivora; Ursidae.